RNAcentral lists this ribosomal RNA (468 nucleotides) under uncultured bacterium. RNAcentral's name for it is "partial 16S ribosomal RNA". It matches the Rfam family "Bacterial small subunit ribosomal RNA", at positions 28 to 507 of the family's 1533-position model. The record is from RNAcentral.
GACGAACGCUGGCGGCGUGCUUAACACAUGCAAGUCGAACGGAAAGGCCCUGCUUUUGUGGGGUGCUCGAGUGGCGAACGGGUGAGUAACACGUGAGUAACCUGCCCUUGAUUUUGGGAUAACUUCAGGAAACUGGGGCUAAUACCGGAUAGGAGCUCCUGCUGCAUGGUGGGGGUUGGAAAGUUUCGGCGGUUGGGGAUGGACUCGCGGCUUAUGAGCUUGUUGGUUGGGUAGUGGCUUACCAAGGCUUUGACGGGUAGCCGGCCUGAGAGGGUGACCGGCCACAUUGGGACUGAGAUACGGCCCAGACUCCUACGGGAGGCAGCAGUGGGGAAUAUUGCACAAUGGGCGGAAGCCUGAUGCAGCAACGCCGCGUGCGGGAUGACGGCCUUCGGGUUGUAAACCGCUUUCGCCUGUGACGAAGCGUGGGUGACGGUAAUGGGUAAAGAAGCACCGGCUAACUACGUG